This 279-nucleotide ribosomal RNA is filed under the name uncultured bacterium. Its description in RNAcentral is "partial 16S ribosomal RNA". It matches the Rfam family "Bacterial small subunit ribosomal RNA", at positions 506 to 784 of the family's 1533-position model. The record is from RNAcentral.
UGCCAGCAGCCGCGGUAAUACGGAGGGAGCGAGCGUUAAUCGGAAUUAUUGGGCGUAAAGGGCGCGUAGGCGGUCUUGUCGGUCAGGUGUGAAAGCCCGGGGCUCAACCCUGGAAGUGCACUUGAAACAGCAAGACUUGAGUACGGGAGAGGAAAGCGGAAUUCCUGGUGUAGAGGUGAAAUUCGUAGAUAUCAGGAGGAACACCAAUGGCGAAGGCAGCUUUCUGGACAGAUACUGACGCUGAGGUGCGAAAGCGUGGGGAGCAAACAGGAUUAGAUA